CCUACGGGUGGCAGCAGUAGGGAAUCUUCCACAAUGGGCGAAAGCCUGAUGGAGCAACGCCGCGUGGGUGAAGAAGGUCUUCGGAUCGUAAAACCCUGUUGUUAGAGAAGAAAGUGCGUGCGAGUAACUGUUCACGUUUCGACGGUAUCUAUCCAGAAAGCCACGGCUAACUACGUGCCAGCAGCCGCGGUAAUACGUAGGUGGCAAGCGUUAUCCGGAUUUAUUGGGCGUAAAGGGAACGCAGGCAGUCUUUUAAGUCUGAUGUGAAAGCCGUCGGCUUAACCGGAAUAGUGCAUUGGAAACUGGGGGACUGGAGUGCGGAAAGGGAGAAUGGAACUCGAUGUGUAGCGGUGAAAUGCGUAGAUAUAUGGAAGAACACCAGUGGCGAAAGCGGCUCACUGGACUGUAACUGACGCUGAGGUUCGAAAGCGUGGGUAGCAAACAGGAUUAGAUACCCUUGUAGUC
RNAcentral lists this ribosomal RNA (465 nucleotides) under uncultured bacterium. RNAcentral describes it as "partial 16S ribosomal RNA". It matches the Rfam family "Bacterial small subunit ribosomal RNA", at positions 338 to 795 of the family's 1533-position model. The record is from RNAcentral.